GACGAACGCUGGCGGCGUGCCUAAUACAUGCAAGUAGAACGCUGAAGAGAGGAGCUUGCUCUUCUUGGAUGAGUUGCGAACGGGUGAGUAACGCGUAGGUAACCUGCCUUGUAGCGGGGGAUAACUAUUGGAAACGAUAGCUAAUACCGCAUAACAAUGGAUGACACAUGUCAUUUAUUUGAAAGGGGCAAUUGCUCCACUACAAGAUGGACCUGCGUUGUAUUAGCUAGUAGGUGAGGUAAUGGCUCACCUAGGCGACGAUACAUAGCCGACCUGAGAGGGGGAUCGCCCACCCUGGGACUGGAAACCGGCCCAGACUCCUACGGGGGGCAGAAGUAGGGAAUCUUCGGAAAUGGGGGCAACCCCGACCGAGCAACCCCGGGGGAGGGAAAAAGGUUUUCGGAUCGUAAAGCUCUGUUGUAAGUCAAGAACGGGUGUGAGGGUGGAAAGUUCCACCUGGGGCGGUAGCUUACCAAAAAGGGACGGCUAACUACGU
Molecule: ribosomal RNA, 496 nt
Filed under: uncultured bacterium
Lineage: Bacteria
Description: partial 16S ribosomal RNA
Rfam family: Bacterial small subunit ribosomal RNA
Source: RNAcentral